Molecule: ribosomal RNA, 274 nt
Filed under: uncultured bacterium
Lineage: Bacteria
Description: partial 16S ribosomal RNA
Rfam family: Bacterial small subunit ribosomal RNA
Source: RNAcentral
AUACGGAGGGGGCUAGCGUUGUUCGGAAUUACUGGGCGUAAAGCGCGCGUAGGCGGUCCGCGUAGUCAGGCGUGAAAGCCCCGGGCUCAACCUGGGAACUGCGUUUGAUACUGGCGGACUAGAGUCCGGGAGAGGGUAGUGGAAUUCCCAGUGUAGAGGUGAAAUUCGUAGAUAUUGGGAAGAACACCAGUGGCGAAGGCGGCUACCUGGACCGGCACUGACGCUGAGGUGCGAAAGCGUGGGGAGCAAACAGGAUUAGAUACCCCGGUAGUCC